GACGAACGCUGGCGGCGUGCCUAAUACAUGCAAGUUGAGCGCUGAAGGUUGGUACUUGUACCAACUGGAUGAGCAGCGAACGGGUGAGUAACGCGUGGGGAAUCUGCCUUUGAGCGGGGGACAACAUUUGGAAACGAAUGCUAAUACCGCAUAAAAACUUUAAACACAAGUUUUAAGUUUGAAAGAUGCAAUUGCAUCACUCAAAGAUGAUCCCGCGUUGUAUUAGCUAGUUGGUGAGGUAAAGGCUCACCAAGGCGAUGAUACAUAGCCGACCUGAGAGGGUGAUAAGCCACAUUGGGACUGAGACACGGCCCAAACUCCUACGGGAGGGAGCAGUAGGGAAUCUUCGGCAAUGGACGAAAGUCUGACCGAGCAACGCCGCGUGAGGGAAGAAGGUUUUCGGAUCGUAAAACUCUGUUGGUAGAGAAGAACGUUGGUGAGAGUGGAAAGCUCAUCAAGUGACGGUAACUACCCAGAAAGGGACGGCUAACUACGUG
Molecule: ribosomal RNA, 497 nt
Filed under: uncultured bacterium
Lineage: Bacteria
Description: partial 16S ribosomal RNA
Rfam family: Bacterial small subunit ribosomal RNA
Source: RNAcentral